RNAcentral lists this ribosomal RNA (486 nucleotides) under uncultured bacterium. RNAcentral describes it as "partial 16S ribosomal RNA". It matches the Rfam family "Bacterial small subunit ribosomal RNA", at positions 28 to 507 of the family's 1533-position model. The record is from RNAcentral.
GAUGAACGCUGGCGGCGUGCCUAAUACAUGCAAGUCGAACGCUGGAGAUCUAGCUUGCUAGAUCGAAGGAGUGGCGAACGGGUGAGUAAUACAUAAGCAACCUACCCACGAAGACUGGGAUAAUCUCUGGAAACGGGGACUAAUACCGGAUAGGUAAUCGGAAGGCAUCUUCUGGUUAUUAAAGGUUAAAAACACUGGUGGAUGGGCUUAUGGCGCAUUAGUUAGUUGGUGAGGUAACGGCCCACCAAGACGAUGAUGCGUAGCCGGCCUGAGAGGGUGAACGGCCACAUUGGGACUGAGACACGGCCCAGACGCCUACGGGAGGCAGCAGUAGGGAAUUUUCGGCAAUGGGGGCAACCCUGACCGAGCAACGCCGCGUGAGUGAAGACGGCCUUCGGGUUGUAAAGCUCUGUUGUAAGGGAAGAACGGUAGAUAGAGAAGAUCUAAGUGACGGUACCUUAACAGAAAGCCACGGCUAACUACGUG